RNAcentral lists this unclassified non-coding RNA (304 nucleotides) under Hevea brasiliensis (rubber tree). The record is from RNAcentral. Lineage: Eukaryota; Viridiplantae; Streptophyta; Magnoliopsida; Malpighiales; Euphorbiaceae.
AGCCUCGAUCAAAGGAGCGGUAGCUGUAGAUCUGAUGAGAGUAGAGAAAGCCAUUGCAAUAUUUCACUUGAAGCUCUUCCCGGAAGACCCUAACAAAGAGGAUAGAAGAGAGAGAGAGGAGAGACUGCUUCUCUUUCUAUCUUUCUUUCUUUCUUUCUUUUUAUUUUAACGUUAGGCAGAAGGCGAAAUGAAAUAGCUGAGUUCCGUAUGAGGGAGGGGUAAGUGAGGAGAUGGCUGGAUUGCUGGCUUUCAUGUCCCUCGACCCUUCUUUUAAAUAAACAUUUUAUUUUGAGACCACCGAGUA